CAGCAGGCGCGAAAACUUUGCAAUGCGGGAAACCGUGACAAGGGAACUCUGAGUGCCCGUUAAAUCGGGCUGUCCAUCGGUUUAAAUAACCGGUGAAGAAAGGGCCGGGCAAGACCGGUGCCAGCCGCCGCGGUAAUACCGGCGGCUCGAGUGGUGGCCACUAUUACUGGGCUUAAAGCGUUCGUAGCUGGUUUGUUAAGUCUCUGGGGAAAUCUUCCGGCUUAACCGGAAGGCGUCUCAGGGAUACUGGCAGACUAGGGACCGGGAGAGGUGAGAGGUACUCCAGGGGUAGGAGUGAAAUCCUGUAAUCCUUGGGGGACCACCUGUGGCGAAGGCGUCUCACCAGAACGGCUCCGACAGUGAGGGACGAAAGCUGGGGGAGCAAACCGGAUUAGAUACCCGGGUAGUCCCAGCUGUAAACGAUGCGCGUUAGGUGUAUCGGUGACCACGAGUCACCGAGGUGCCGAAGAGAAAUCGUGAAACGUGCCGCCUGGGAAGUACGGUCGCAAGGCUGAAACUUAAAGGAAUUGGC
RNAcentral lists this ribosomal RNA (532 nucleotides) under uncultured archaeon. RNAcentral's name for it is "bacterial SSU rRNA". It matches the Rfam family "Archaeal small subunit ribosomal RNA", at positions 333 to 869 of the family's 1478-position model. The record is from RNAcentral.